This 440-nucleotide ribosomal RNA is filed under the name uncultured bacterium. Its description in RNAcentral is "partial 16S ribosomal RNA". It matches the Rfam family "Bacterial small subunit ribosomal RNA", at positions 338 to 795 of the family's 1533-position model. The record is from RNAcentral.
CCUACGGGAGGCAGCAGUGGGGAAUAUUGCACAAUGGGGGAAACCCUGAUGCAGCGACGCCGCGUGAGUGAAGAAGUAUCUCGGUACGUAAAGCUCUAUCAGCAGGGAAGAAAAUGACGGUACCUGACUAAGAAGCGCCGGCUAACUACGUGCCAGCAGCCGCGGUAAUACGUCGGGGGCAAGCGGUAUCCCGAUUUACUGGGUGUAAAGGGAGCGUAGACGGCGGUGCAAGUCUGGAGUGAAGGGCCGGGGCCCAACCCCGGAACUGCGCUUGAAACUGGGAAGCUGGAGUGCAGGAGAGGUAAGCGGAAUUCCUGGUGUAGCGGUGAAAUGCGUAGAUAUCAGGAGGAACACCGGCGGCGAAGGCGGCUUACUGGACUGUAACUGACGUUGAGGCUCGAAGGCGUGGGGAGCAAACAGGAUUAGAUACCCUUGUAGUC